RNAcentral lists this long non-coding RNA (1338 nucleotides) under Felis catus (domestic cat). RNAcentral describes it as "lncRNA (ENSFCAG00000045277.2)". Lineage: Eukaryota; Metazoa; Chordata; Mammalia; Carnivora; Felidae. The record is from RNAcentral.
CUGUAUCAAGCUAGUGAACUAUCCAUACGAAUGUCUAUGUGAAGAACUGUCCACUCAGUGCAAAGAGUGGGUACAAAGCCCUUAAAGUAUAAACAUUGCCUGGAAUAUUUGAAAAACUGCAAGGGACUCAUAAUGGUUGGAGAAAAGUAAAUGAGGAACAAGUAUUUAGAGAUUUCCAAAAAGGUCAGAUCAUGCAUGGCAUUCUAACUUACAGGAAAACAAAGAACUUUGGCUUUUUAGUGCUAAGAGAAGCCACUGAAGCCACUAAAGUCAUGAGAGGAUUGAUAUGACAUGAAUUUUGUUUAAAAAGUACCACUGUGGCUGCUGUAUUUGGAAUAUAUUUAGGAGGACACAAACAAAACUAGAGAUAUCUGUUAGGAGCUAGUUGUAAGCAGGCAAGAAAGAGAUGAUGGUGAUUUUUUAGGGUAGUAGCAGUGUAGGUAAUAACUAGUGAAACCGUGAAUAUAUUUUGCCAAUAAAUUGGAUGAAGAAAGAGAAAAGGUAUCAAAAAUGACCUCGAGUUUUUUGGCUCACACAACUGAAAUAAUGAGGCUACCACUGAUGGAAAUGGAGCUGUUUCUUUUGAGGUGGAUGGACAGUAGGAGCAAUGUUUGUAACAUAUUAAGUUUCAGAUGCCUAUUAGACAUCACAGUUGUGAAGUAGACAGUUAUAUAUGAGGGUCUGAAGUUCAGGGUUAGAGGUCCAAGAUGGAGAUAUAAAUGUGAGAAACCUCAGAAUACAGAUGAUAUUUAAAAACCAUGAGAAUGGAUCAAAUAAUGAAACGAGUGUUGAAUAGAAAAGGUAGAAUAUAUAGAACAGAAUAGAGAAUAUAUUCUCUAUAUAGAAUACAGAAAUGGUACAGGAGAUGCCAACAUUUAGAGAAUGAGAAGGGACCAUCAAAAGUGGCUGAAGAUCCAGAAAAGUGGGAGGGAUACCAGGAGAGUGUGGUAUCCUGGGAGCCAAUGAUGAAGAGGUUUCUAGAAGGAGAUGGCAUAAACAAUGGCAAAGGAUGCUAAUAGGUCAACUGAGACAAAGCCUGAGAACAGACAAAGUAGCUUCAGUGAUGUCAUUGACGACCAUGACAAAGAGCAGAGUGGUGCAGUUGAAAAUCUACUCAGAUUGAGGUUGAGAGAAGCUGCCACUGUAGUGACCAGCUUUGCAAGGACCUGGACUGACUUCACACAGAUGCAACAUGACAGCCCUGCGCCCUGGACCGAAGCCACACCACCCCCCUGUCUCCUAUCCUGUGGGCUGCUCUGUUGACAUUGCUUUGGGACAUUAACUCUGAAAUCUCAUCACUGUCAUCAAUAAAAAAGCAUGGCAAUCUGUUCCUUUUCA